CUGCUUGUUUGCCACUUCCCAAAGAAGAGGGUUUAGGGUCCACCUUCCUCAAAACCCGUAGGUAUCCGACCUUCUCCCAGCAAAUGAUACUGCUGUUGCACCCCCUGGGAACACAUGACAGGAGUAUUGCCCUCUGUCUACACGAGAGGGGACUCACCCAGGACCCAUGGUUGCCAGGUAAUGCCAGCACUUCUCUCUACUAUUCGCAUGUGCUGUGCCCUACUGAAACGGGAGAAGCUCCCAGCUCUGCACCCCUCCUGGCUAAAGGUGCUUUCCUUUCUUCCACAGGGGGUUGCUGGACAACAGGAGUCAGAAUUAAGUCUUGCCAGUAUUUUUAUUCAGACUGAAAAGUGUUUUACUCCCUACUGGAACUAGAAAUAUAAUCAGUAAUCAGAAUUAUGCUCAGGGAACCUGUCUUUCAAGCCAUGUAAAGCGAUGUCAGGUGGGUCACUGCCCAUGACAGCAAUUUACAAGGAACGCCAAAACGUCCCUGGGAGAUAGUGAGAUGGAGAAAGUUUAUUCUCUACAACUUCUUUUUGAAAGAUUUCUGUACAUGAUUAGAAAUAAUAUUUUGAUAAAGUUGUUCGGGUUGGUUAUGGGAAUAAUUUCUUCAAGAGGAAUGCUUGAGUAAUAACAUAUAAGAGUUAAAUACUCUCAUAACUUCAGGGCUUUUGUUCUGUUAAGCGGGCUUAUAGGUAUGAUGGUUUCAGGUGGUUGGGCCGCAGCCCAUGCACUCUGUCAGUGGUCCUUUCUUCUUCCAUUUCUGUCUUCCUUGUUCAGUACUCAGUUUCUCUUAACAUGUGUUUAACAAAUCUUUUUAGCCUGAGGGACCAAAUUGUCAGCCUAACAGGGUGCUCAAAUAUUUCCAUCUGAACUUGCCUGUCCCUUUAUCUGUCCUACCAGGGCUUUCAAAUAAAUAUCAAUAAUCGAUAUGAUUUAUAAUAAACAUCAAUAAUCAAAAAAUACAUCAAGUAAAUAAGACCACAAGCUGCUUGGCUAGAAAUCGUGACCCUACCACUUGCUAGUGAUAACAGUCGUGGAAUGCAGGGCAGUUUAAUUAACCUUUCAUGGUCUCUGUGUUCUCAUCUUUAGAAAGGAGAUGUUCCGACUCAUCUCGUGGGGUUAUGUGAGGAUUAAAUGAGUUAAUACACAUAAAGCCCUGCUAAUAAUUCCUGCUACAUAGU
This 1184-nucleotide long non-coding RNA is filed under the name Equus caballus (horse). RNAcentral's name for it is "lncRNA (ENSECAG00000057002.1)". Lineage: Eukaryota; Metazoa; Chordata; Mammalia; Perissodactyla; Equidae. The record is from RNAcentral.